RNAcentral lists this ribosomal RNA (515 nucleotides) under uncultured bacterium. RNAcentral describes it as "bacterial SSU rRNA". It matches the Rfam family "Bacterial small subunit ribosomal RNA", at positions 791 to 1304 of the family's 1533-position model. The record is from RNAcentral.
UAGUCCACGCUGUAAACGAUGUCUACUAGCCGUCGGGGUCCUUAGUGACUUUGGUGGCGCAGCUAACGCGAUAAGUAGACCGCCUGGGGAGUACGGCCGCAAGGUUAAAACUCAAAUGAAUUGACGGGGGCCCGCACAAGCGGUGGAGCAUGUGGUUUAAUUCGAUGCAACGCGAAGAACCUUACCAGGUCUUGACAUCCUCGGAAUUUGGCAGAGAUGCCUUAGUGCCUUCGGGAGCCGAGUGACAGGUGCUGCAUGGCCGUCGUCAGCUCGUGUCGUGAGAUGUUGGGUUAAGUCCCGUAACGAGCGCAACCCUUGUCCUUAGUUGCCAGCACGUAAUGGUGGGAACUCUAGGGAGACUGCCGGUGACAAACCGGAGGAAGGUGGGGACGACGUCAGGUCAUCAUGGCCCUUACGACCUGGGCUACACACGUGCUACAAUGGCUGGUACAGAGGGUUGCGAAGUCGCGAGGCGAAGCUAAUCCCUUAAAGCCAGUCGUAGUCCGGAUCGGAGU